This 383-nucleotide unclassified non-coding RNA is filed under the name Melitaea cinxia (Glanville fritillary). Its description in RNAcentral is "misc RNA ENSMCXG00005001857.1". The record is from RNAcentral. Lineage: Eukaryota; Metazoa; Arthropoda; Insecta; Lepidoptera; Nymphalidae.
UGAAUUGCUUGGCCUGUGCUGCAGUGCUGGGCCUGUGCUGCAGUGCUGGGCAGAGAAGAAUGACGGUGAUUUGAGGAGCAGAGUCAAGCCGAGGGGAAUUAAGCUGACGAGGACGUUCAGCUGUCAGGAGAGGCCGUGUUAGAAACUUUCCCACGACCCGGCUCCUCUACUCAGUGACGUCGUGCGACGGAACGUGGAGGGCGGGGCAAUAACGCCGCGUGCGCCACGUCGCAUCAUGCGGUAGCAUCGUUCUCUUUGCUUCGAGCUCGCGGCAGCGACGGACGUACUCUCUAGUGCUAAUAGGACGCGUACUUGUACUUAUGUUGAUAAACAUUUAGUUGAUGUAAAUGAAUAAAUCUUGUAAAGUUACUCCGUGUCUUAUU